AACGAACGCUGGCGGCAUGCCUAACACAUGCAAGUCGAACGAAACCUUCCUGUCUAGUGGCGCACGUGUGCGUAACACGGGGUAAGCUGCCCUUCGGUUAGGAAUAACUGACAGAAAUUUCAGCUAAUACCUUAUAAUGUCUUCGGGCCAAAGAUUUAUCGCCGAGGGAUGAGCCUGCGUAGGAUUAGGUAGUUGGUGGGGGAAUGGCCUACCAAGCCGACGAUCCUUAGCUGGUGUGAGAGGAUGCACAGCCACACUGGGACUGGGCCAAGGCCCAGACUCCUACGGGAGGCAGGAGUGGGGAAUAUUUGGCAAUGGGCGAAAGCCAGCUCCAGCACUGCCGCGUGAAUGAUGAAGGCCUAGGGUUGUAAAGCUCUUUUACCCGGGAUGAUAAUGACAGUACCGGGAGAAUAAGCACCGGCUAACUCCGUG
This 432-nucleotide ribosomal RNA is filed under the name uncultured bacterium. Its description in RNAcentral is "partial 16S ribosomal RNA". It matches the Rfam family "Bacterial small subunit ribosomal RNA", at positions 29 to 507 of the family's 1533-position model. The record is from RNAcentral.